Molecule: ribosomal RNA, 227 nt
Filed under: uncultured bacterium
Lineage: Bacteria
Description: partial 16S ribosomal RNA
Rfam family: Bacterial small subunit ribosomal RNA
Source: RNAcentral
UGAGUAACACGUAUCCAACCUGCCGUCUACUCUUGGACAGCCUUCUGAAAGGAAGAUUAAUACAAGAUGGCAUCAUGAGUUCACAUGUUCACAUGAUUAAAGGUGUUCCGGUAGACGAUGGGGAUGCGUUCCAUUAGAUAGUAGGCGGGGUAACGGCCCACCUAGUCUUCGAUGGAUAGGGGUUCUGAGAGGAAGGUCCCCCACAUUGGAACUGAGACACGGUCCAA